GUGUCAGCCGCCGCGGUAAUACGAAGGGUGCAAACGUUGCUCGGAAUCAUUGGGCGUAAAGCGCACGUAGGCGGCCUUGCAAGUCGGAUGUGAAAUCCCACGGCUCAACCGUGGACGUGCAUCCGAAACUGCUCGGCUCGAGUAUGGAAGAGGGUCGCGGAAUUCCCGGUGUAGAGGUGAAAUUCGUAGAUAUCGGGAGGAACACCAGUGGCGAAGGCGGCGACCUGGGCCAAUACUGACGCUGAGGUGCGAAAGCGUGGGGAGCAAACAGGAUUAGAAACCCCGGUAGUCC
RNAcentral lists this ribosomal RNA (292 nucleotides) under uncultured bacterium. RNAcentral describes it as "partial 16S ribosomal RNA". It matches the Rfam family "Bacterial small subunit ribosomal RNA", at positions 505 to 796 of the family's 1533-position model. The record is from RNAcentral.